This is a long non-coding RNA of Haliotis rubra (blacklip abalone), 457 nucleotides long. RefSeq lists it as uncharacterized. NCBI's taxonomy places the organism in Eukaryota, Metazoa, Mollusca, Gastropoda, Lepetellida, Haliotidae. The transcript has 2 exons. The record is from RefSeq and is a predicted model, not a curated record.
CAUCAGAACACCCUAAUGGUAAUGAUUCUAAAUUGUAUACAACUAGUUGCAACUGAGUGGCAAGACAUAGGAUUUGUUCUAGUUCCUACUACAAGUUGCAGGCUCUCAGCGUCAGAUCUUCAGGGAGUCGUCCGAUUAUUAGUGUUGACAUGUUGAACUAUAUGAUACCAGAAGAAACUGAGUUUGGCCCAAGGAUCCAGUUGUGAACUCACACCCCAUGCGAUCUAAAUACUAAAAUGCCAAUGUCCUGUGAUACCUCAGCUUGCAUUAUUGUGCAGUUAUAAACCUGAUGCUGCAGGCCAUUUGAAGGACUUAACUUCAUGUUGCAGUCUAUUUCAUAUACGUGUGUACCAUUUUGUACCUGUCAAAACAUAUCUUCGUCUUAACAUGAAUAACACCACUCAGACAUGGUGUACUAACUCCAAGCUGAAUAAAGUACUGUCGGAAAUAGAAAAAA